AUUGAACGCUGGCGGCAGGCCUAACACAUGCAAGUCGAGCGGAAACGAGUUAUCUGAACUUUCGGGGAACGAUAACGGCGUCGAGCGGCGGACGGGUGAGUAAUGCCUAGGAAAUUGCCAUGAUGUGGGGGAUAACCAUUGGAAACGAUGGCUAAUACCGCAUGAUGCCUACGGGCCAAAGAGGGGGACCUUCGGGCCUCUCGCGUCAGGAUAUGCCUAGGUGGGAUUAGCUGGUUGGUGAGGUAAGGGCUCACCAAGGCGACGAUCCCUAGCUGGUCUGAGAGGAUGAUCAGCCACACUGGAACUGAGACACGGUCCAGACUCCUACGGGAGGCAGCAGUGGGGAAUAUUGCACAAUGGGCGCAAGCCUGAUGCAGCCAUGCCGCGUGUAUGAAGAAGGCCUUCGGGUUGUAAAGUACUUUCAGUCGUGAGGAAGGCGGCGUCGCUAAUAGCGGCGUUGUUUGACGUUAGCGACAGAAGAAGCACCGGCUAACUCCGUGCCAGCAGCCGCGGUAAUACGGAGGGUGCGAGCGUUAAUCGGAAUUACUGGGCGUAAAGCGCAUGCAGGUGGUUUGUUAAGUCAGAUGUGAAAGCCCGGGGCUCAACCUCGGAAUAGCAUUUGAAACUGGCAGACUAGAGUACUGUAGAGGGGGGUAGAAUUCCAGGUGUAGCGGUGAAAUGCGUAGAGAUCUGAAGGAAUACCGGUGGCGAAGGCGGCCCCCUGGACAGAUACUGACACUCAGAUGCGAAAGCGUGGGGAGCAAACAGG
Molecule: ribosomal RNA, 769 nt
Filed under: uncultured Pseudoalteromonadaceae bacterium
Lineage: Bacteria; Pseudomonadati; Pseudomonadota; Gammaproteobacteria; Alteromonadales; Pseudoalteromonadaceae
Description: bacterial SSU rRNA
Rfam family: Bacterial small subunit ribosomal RNA
Source: RNAcentral